UACGUAGGGGGCGAGCGUUACCCGGAUUCACUGGGCGUAAAGGGGGCGUAGGCGGCCGUGUAAGUCCGGUGUGAAAUACCACGGCUCAACCGUGGAACUGCGCUUGUGACUGGCGGGCUCGAGUACGGUAGAGGGGGGUGGAAUUCCAGGUGUAGCGGUGAAAUGCGUAGAGAUCUGGAGGAAUACCGGUGGCGAAGGCGGCCCCCUGGACAAAGACUGACGCUCAGGCACGAAAGCGUGGGGAGCAAACAGG
RNAcentral lists this ribosomal RNA (253 nucleotides) under uncultured microorganism. RNAcentral describes it as "partial 16S ribosomal RNA". It matches the Rfam family "Bacterial small subunit ribosomal RNA", at positions 524 to 776 of the family's 1533-position model. The record is from RNAcentral.